Molecule: ribosomal RNA, 552 nt
Filed under: uncultured bacterium
Lineage: Bacteria
Description: bacterial SSU rRNA
Rfam family: Bacterial small subunit ribosomal RNA
Source: RNAcentral
AAUAGAUACCCGGGUAGUCCACGCCCUAAACUAUGAUAACUCGUUGUUGGAGGAUUCGACCCCUUCAGUGACUAAGCUAACGCGAUAAGUUAUCCGCCUGGGUAGUACGAUCGCAAGAUUAAAACUCAAAGGAAUAGACGGGGACCCACACAAGCGGUGGAGCAUCUGGUUUAAUUCGACAAUAAGCGGAAAACCUCACCAAGACUUGACAUCCCGGGAAGACUGCCGAAAGGUGGUUGUGCCGCAAGGAACCCGGUGACAGGUGCUGCAUGGUUGUCGUCAGCUCGUGCCUUGAGGUGUUCGGUUAAGUCCGUAAACGAGCGCAACCCAUGUUAUGUGUUGUAUUUUUCACAUAAGACUGCCGGCUUCAAGUCGGAGGAAGGUAUGGAUGACGUCAAAUCAGCAUGGCCCUUAUGUCUUGGGCUACACAGGUGCUACAAUGGUUGGUACAAAGGGCUGCCAAGAAGUAAUUCGGAGCAAAUCCCAAAACCAAUCUAAGUUCGGAUUGAGGGCUGAAAUUCGCCCUCAUGAAGCUGGAAUCGCUAGUAACCG